CGGGUGUAGCUCAGUUGGUUAGAGUGCCGGCCUGUCACGCCGGAGGUCGCGGGUUCGAGCCCCGUCACUCGCGCCA
This 76-nucleotide transfer RNA is filed under the name Brucella abortus. RNAcentral's name for it is "tRNA-Asp". It matches the Rfam family "tRNA". From Rfam's summary of the family: Transfer RNA (tRNA) molecules are approximately 80 nucleotides in length. Their secondary structure includes four short double-helical elements and three loops (D, anti-codon, and T loops). Lineage: Bacteria; Pseudomonadati; Pseudomonadota; Alphaproteobacteria; Hyphomicrobiales; Brucellaceae. The record is from RNAcentral. RNAcentral also lists the same sequence under 2 other names.